This 430-nucleotide ribosomal RNA is filed under the name uncultured soil bacterium. Its description in RNAcentral is "bacterial SSU rRNA". It matches the Rfam family "Bacterial small subunit ribosomal RNA", at positions 26 to 482 of the family's 1533-position model. The record is from RNAcentral.
AGAGCGAACGCUGGCGGCAGGCCUAACACAUGCAAGUCGAACGGACUCUUCGGAGUUAGUGGCGGACGGGUGAGUAACACGUGGGAACGUGCCUUUUGGUUCGGAAUAGCUCCUGGAAACGGGUGGUAAUGCCGAAUGUGCCCUUCGGGGGGAAAGAUUUAUCGCCGUUAGAGCGGCCCGCGUCUGAUUAGCUAGUUGGUGAGGUAAAGGCUCACCAAGGCGACGAUCAGUAGCUGGUCUGAGAGGAUGACCAGCCACCAUUGGGACGUGAGACACGGCCCGAAACCUACCUACGGGACGGGCACGCAGGUGGGGAAGUACUUGCGGCAAGUGGGCGGAAAGACCUGACGCAGCCAUGCCGCGUGAAUGAUGAAGGUCUUAGGAUUAGUAAAAUUACUUUCGACCGGGAAGGAUAAUGGACGGUACCCGG